GGCCUUGUGGCCCAAUGGUCAAGGCGCCUGACUACGACUUUCACUCUGUGAAAUAGCCUAUCAGGAGAUUGCAGGUUCGAAUCCUGCCAAGGUCA
This 95-nucleotide transfer RNA is filed under the name Dothideomycetidae sp. 11243. RNAcentral's name for it is "fungal sp. No.11243 tRNA". It matches the Rfam family "tRNA". Rfam says of the family: Transfer RNA (tRNA) molecules are approximately 80 nucleotides in length. Lineage: Eukaryota; Fungi; Ascomycota; Dothideomycetes. The record is from Rfam by way of RNAcentral.